This is a small RNA of Bacteroides caecimuris, 204 nucleotides long. It matches the Rfam family "Bacteroides sRNA BTnc231". Rfam says of the family: An uncharacterized small RNA discovered in Bacteroides thetaiotaomicron The record is from Rfam. NCBI's taxonomy places the organism in Bacteria, Pseudomonadati, Bacteroidota, Bacteroidia, Bacteroidales, Bacteroidaceae.
ACGUUUUUUUCAUAGAGAUUUAGAUUUAAGGUUAGAAGAAUUGUGGAAGUCGUGAGACUUCCCUUUUUUUCACCUUAACGUUUACUAUACUUCAUUAUAGGAAUGCAGAGACACUGUUUCUAGUGUUUUGGUUAAAAAAUUUGCAGGAGGAUGAUGCAGGAUAAGUAAACCUAAAAAGCCUUCUUCGUGAGAAGAGGCUUUUUU